Seriola aureovittata is the source of this 360-nucleotide long non-coding RNA. RefSeq lists it as uncharacterized. The record is from RefSeq and is a predicted model, not a curated record. Lineage: Eukaryota; Metazoa; Chordata; Actinopteri; Carangiformes; Carangidae. The transcript has 3 exons.
UCCCCUGCACAACAAGCGCUGAGAGAGCAGCUCUCCUUUAACACCCUGCAAUACCUCAGAGCUUUACACUUGUAAUUAAAUCAUAAAACAACAGCAACUGCAAAGUCAGAGUUUUAAAAACGAGCACUGUAAGACUGUGAUUUGAGGAAAUGGAGGCGUUGGACCUUCAGCUCUGACUGAGGCCCGACACUGAGACAUGAAGCAGCACUGGCUUCCUGAGGAUGUCGCUGUGUAAUGUGACACACUUGAGGAGAUUACAAGUUUCAACAGGUUACCAGAUGACCAUAGGGCAGCCUUGUGUGCAACCAAAUAAUUAAGACACAACUGAGGUAAAAAGAUUUCAGGCCUGAAAUUUCCCCA